RNAcentral lists this ribosomal RNA (618 nucleotides) under Microbotryum moenchiae-manticae. RNAcentral describes it as "partial large subunit ribosomal RNA". It matches the Rfam family "Eukaryotic large subunit ribosomal RNA", at positions 55 to 669 of the family's 3401-position model. The record is from RNAcentral. Lineage: Eukaryota; Fungi; Basidiomycota; Microbotryomycetes; Microbotryales; Microbotryaceae.
GGAAAAGAAACUAACAAGGAUUCCCCUAGUAACGGCGAGUGAAGCGGGAAAAGCUCAAAUUUGUAAUCUGGCGCCUUCGGCGUCCGAGUUGUAAUCUCGAGAAGUAUUUUCCGCGCUGGACCGCACAUAAGUCUGUUGGAAUACAGCGUCAUAGUGGUGAGAACCCCGUAUAUGGUGCGGAUGCCCAGUGCUUUGUGAUAUACUUUCGAAGAGUCGAGUUGUUUGGGAAUGCAGCUCAAAUUGGGUGGUAAAUUCCAUCUAAAGCUAAAUAUUGGCGAGAGACCGAUAGCGAACAAGUACCGUGAGGGAAAGAUGAAAAGCACUUUGGAAAGAGAGUUAACAGUACGUGAAAUUGUUGGAAGGGAAACGCUUGAAGUCAGACUUGCAUUUUGGAGUUCAGCCGCAAGGUGUAUUCUUCAAUUCGCAGGCCAGCAUCAGUUUUCGGGGGUGGAAAAUCGCGGUUUGAAGGUAGCAGUCUUGGCUGUGUUAUAGCUUUCCGCUGGAUUCACUUUUGGGGACUGAGGAACGCAGUACGCUUUUUUGCAAGAUUCUAGAGUCUUUCGUACUUAGGAUGCUGGUGGAAUGGCUUUAAACGACCCGUCUUGAAACACGGACCAA